CACAUGGAGGAAAUGCCAUGUCUAUGAAUAAUUUCAUAGGGUCGAAUUGAUGAUUAUUUCCCUGAUUAUCAAUUUGGUUGCAGGUAGUUCAUACUCCUCAAU
Veillonellaceae bacterium DNF00626 is the source of this 102-nucleotide regulatory RNA element. It matches the Rfam family "folP RNA". The record is from Rfam. NCBI's taxonomy places the organism in Bacteria, Bacillati, Bacillota, Negativicutes, Veillonellales, Veillonellaceae.